GUAAAGAAUAAGAAUCCAUCUAUGGCCGCCUCAUACAUGCAUGGCUGCGACGUCUCCCUCCUAUGCUCCCCUCGCCCGCAUGGUUGUUUCCCGUAGCGUGUACGCGAUCAAGACCACUCCUGUAUUGGUGUAGAUCAAGUUAUAAAAUCUUGGGCCAAAACACGCUCAAAAGGCCCAAACUCCUUUAUCCGUAGUAUAAAAAUAAAGGUAAAAAAACGCGAUCUCUCCCCAAACUCUAUCUUCCUCAUGUACGCAGCCGCCGCCGGCUUCUAUCAAAGUUGGCUAUAGGGCGCCAGCUGCUACCAGGAGGUUCUACACGUGUAUGUUCAAGUCGAGCUCUGCACACAAUCGCGUCCGAAGGAUUCAUCGCCAUUCAAAGGAUGAAGCUCAAGACCAGUACGAUCAAGAAUCUGUUGCCAUCAAUUAUGUCUCAUGUGCAUGUGCUAGCUGCUUGAAGAAAUUCAUCUAUGUCCUGAACGGCGUAUACUGUACUGACACACCUAUCGAGAAUCAAUCAACCUGCUUGGGAAGUCAGCUUGGCUAUGUGUACAUAACGUGCAUGUGUGUUGGCGCCAUAUUUUCCCUGUGGAUACUAAGAUGCAUGGCACCACUGUCGAGUUCAAUGAUGACAUCGUCUAUGUCUAUCAAUGUGAUUGGCAAUCACCAGAGGUACUCACCCCUAAUAGAUGAACUGUUCCGUCCUGUAGCUAUGUCUGAAUGAAACGGAUCAUGUAUAGCAUGCAUCACUUUUGUUUCUGUUGGUGUACUAUAUAUCAAAACGGUCGACGACAUGUUUGUGUCCGUGAUGUGCCAUCACAGCACUAUCCAGUACAUAGUUGUUGUAGUGGUAAGACAGAGUCAA
Molecule: long non-coding RNA, 862 nt
Organism: Triticum aestivum (bread wheat)
Lineage: Eukaryota; Viridiplantae; Streptophyta; Magnoliopsida; Poales; Poaceae
Exons: 3
Source: RefSeq, a predicted model, not a curated record